GUGGGGAAUCUUGCGCAAUGGACGAAAGUCUGACGCAGCGAUGCCGCGUGCGGGAUGAAGGCCCUCGGGUUGUAAACCGCUUUCAGCAGGGACGAAAUUGACGGUACCUGCAGAAGAAGCCCCGGCCAACUACGUGCCAGCAGCCGCGGUAAUACGUAGGGGGCGAGCGUUGUCCGGAUUUAUUGGGCGUAAAGAGCUCGUAGGCGGUUCGAUAAGUCGGAUGUGAAAUCUCCACGCUCAACGUGGAGGGGCCAUUCGAUACUGUCGUGACUCGAGUCCGGUAGGGGAGUGUGGAAUUCCCGGUGUAGCGGUGAAAUGCGCAGAGAUCGGGAGGAACACCCGUAGCGAAGGCGGCACUCUGGGCCGGUACUGACGCUGAGGAGCGAAAGCGUGGGGAGCAAACAGGAUUAGAAACCCGAGUAGUCC
This 426-nucleotide ribosomal RNA is filed under the name uncultured bacterium. RNAcentral's name for it is "bacterial SSU rRNA". It matches the Rfam family "Bacterial small subunit ribosomal RNA", at positions 354 to 796 of the family's 1533-position model. The record is from RNAcentral.